GGUUUGUAGCUCAGUGGUAGAACGCUUGCCUUGCUUGCAUGAGGUCCUAAGUACGAUCCUCAGCACCA
This 68-nucleotide transfer RNA is filed under the name Marmota monax (woodchuck). Its description in RNAcentral is "tRNA.Ala". Lineage: Eukaryota; Metazoa; Chordata; Mammalia; Rodentia; Sciuridae. The record is from RNAcentral.